UCCCGCGUAGCUCAGUUGGUAGAGCGGACGGCUGUUAACCGUCAUGUCACUGGUUCGAGUCCAGUCGCGGGAGCCA
This 76-nucleotide transfer RNA is filed under the name Chloroflexota bacterium. RNAcentral's name for it is "Chloroflexi bacterium tRNA-Asn". It matches the Rfam family "tRNA". Rfam says of the family: Transfer RNA (tRNA) molecules are approximately 80 nucleotides in length. Their secondary structure includes four short double-helical elements and three loops (D, anti-codon, and T loops). Lineage: Bacteria; Bacillati; Chloroflexota. The record is from RNAcentral.